Molecule: ribosomal RNA, 447 nt
Filed under: uncultured bacterium
Lineage: Bacteria
Description: SSU rRNA
Rfam family: Bacterial small subunit ribosomal RNA
Source: RNAcentral
AGAACGAACGCUGGCGGCAGGCUUAACACAUGCAAGUCGAACGCUCGUAGCAAUACGGGAGUGGCAGACGGGUGAGUAACGCGUGGGAACAUACCCUCCGGUUCGGAAUAACUCAGGGAAACUUGGGCUAAUACCGGAUACGGCUGAGAGGCGAAAGAUUUAUCGCCGGAGGAUUGGCCCGCGUCCGAUUAGCUAGUUGGUGAGGUAACGGCUCACCAAGGCGACGAUCGGUAGCUGGUCUGAGAGGAUGAUCAGCCACAUUGGGACUGAGACACGGCCCAAACUCCUACGGGAGGCAGCAGUGGGGAAUAUUGGACAAUGGGCGCAAGCCUGAUCCAGCCAUGCCGCGUGAGUGAUGACGGCCUUAGGGUUGUAAAGCUCUUUCGCUCGGGACGAUAAUGACGGUACCGAGAUAAGAAGCCCGGCUAACUUCGUGCCAGCAGCCGC